Myripristis murdjan (pinecone soldierfish) is the source of this 360-nucleotide long non-coding RNA. RefSeq lists it as uncharacterized. Lineage: Eukaryota; Metazoa; Chordata; Actinopteri; Holocentriformes; Holocentridae. The transcript has 2 exons. The record is from RefSeq and is a predicted model, not a curated record.
UUUUUCUCCCAUCAGACAUCAUCAAAGAUGCGGCUCCGAGAAGAGGACAUGGACAGGUACCUUCCUCCUGUGUGCCUGCAGAACAAAGACCAGAGGGAUAUUUCAGAAAACAGGUUUAACGAAGGUGUAAGCAGUCUGUUCCUUCUUCUGGUGGGAGAUGGCAGAGUCCAUGUGGAUCAGACCCAGGAAGUUCAGACACAGAGGAGGGGUCAAACGACAGAACAACCUGUAAAUCAAGGGAAAGACAAAACAUUACACAACCUAAUUUUUGUGCAAUUUCAAACAAUAAAACUGGACUAGACAAAAUAAAGGGCAGUUUAAAAAAAAAAGUGCAAUGGAGACAAAAAAAAAAAAAAAAAA